GAGAUUCAGAAGCCUGAUCAAGAUUCACGUGGAGGAGAAUAGACCCCAUCUUUCAAUGAGACUUCAGGGCACAGUACUCUCCACAGGGAUACCAAUGUCUACAAGGGUGCCACUGGCCCAGCAGGUAAGCAAGUCACCAGGUCCAGCCUAUACUUAAGAGGAAGGCAUUAUACAAGGGAGUGAAUGCCAGGAGGCAAGAUUAUUGGGAGGCACGUCAGAAGCUGCCUGCAAAAACAGGGCCCAAAUGAAACAGCUUUUAAUUCCAAAUGCAAAAUAAACAACAUGGAAAUAUAAGACAGCACAUUGAAAAGACCCAAGAGUCAAAGGAGGAAAUUUGUAUCCAGAGGUGUUCCAUGAAAUUGAGUGCUGAGAGAUAAGAAAAGAAAAAAAAAUGGAGAGUGAAGAAAGCAACAUUUUGAGAGCUGAGCAGGUUUGUUUUUUUUUUUAUCAGAAAUAGUGUUUAUUGGACUCCCCUCCAUAAAAAAAAAAAAAAAUUGCUUAUGGAAAUAAGAUUAGUAUCUCUUCCCUUUGGUUCCCAGAACACCUAAAAAAGGAGAUGAGAGGGAAACAGGGGAGGAAGGAGAGAAAGAAGGACUUGGUGAGAACUGGGUAAGUCUUCAAGAAAGUUGGGGGUCAGGUCCAUGCUUUUGCUUCUCUGCUCUCCCUUCCAAUUCUAUAAUUGGCACAAGAAAGGAUUCCAGCCCUACUUUGGCUUAUCUCUCAUAUUCUUAAAUCCAUGCCUGUUCCUCAAGUAUUUAGUUAGGGAGGAAAGCUGUGAGCUGGUAAAGUCUGCUCCCCCACCACCUCUGGAAUUUUCCCCACGGAAAUAGGACACAAUAAAGUCAGACAAUGCGAGCAUUCACACCAGGGCAGCCAGGGAUGCCUUUGUUCUGGUGAACCAGAAUGAAGCUUAACUAAAUAUGCUGUGAAGCAACUUAAGCAAAGUGGAAAGAGAAAAUGAUUUU
Molecule: long non-coding RNA, 965 nt
Organism: Panthera uncia (snow leopard)
Lineage: Eukaryota; Metazoa; Chordata; Mammalia; Carnivora; Felidae
Exons: 4
Source: RefSeq, a predicted model, not a curated record